Molecule: ribosomal RNA, 470 nt
Filed under: uncultured bacterium
Lineage: Bacteria
Description: partial 16S ribosomal RNA
Rfam family: Bacterial small subunit ribosomal RNA
Source: RNAcentral
GACGAACGCUGGCGGCGUGCUUAACACAUGCAAGUCGAACGCCGAAGCACCAGCUUGCUGGUGUGGAUGAGUGGCGAACGGGUGAGUAAUACGUGAGUAACCUGCCCCUGACUCUGGGAUAAGCCCGGGAAACUCGGUCUAAUACUGGAUGCUACAUGUUAACGCAUGGUGGUGUGUGGAAAGGGUUUACUGGUCUUGGGUGAGCUCACGGCCUAUCAGCUCGUUGGCGAGUUGAUGGGUUACCGACGUGACAACGGGACGCCGGACAGAGGGAGUGACAGGCCGCACUGGGACUGAGACAAGGCCCAGGCACCGACGGGGGGGAGCAGGGGGGAAGAUUGAACAAGGGGCGAAAGCCGGGUGAAGAGGGGCGGCGGGAGGGAUAACGGUCUUCGUAUUGUAGACCACUUUCAGAAGGAAAGAAGCCACGAGUGACGGUACCUGCAGAAAAAGCGACGGCUAACUACGUG